AUUGAACGCUGGCGGCAUGCCUUACACAUGCAAGUCGAACGGCAGCACGGGAGCAAUCCUGGUGGCGAGUGGCGAACGGGUGAGUAAUAUAUCGGAACGUGCCCAGUCGUGGGGAUAACGUAGCGAAAGCUACGCUAAUACCGCAUACGAUCUAUGGAUGAAAGCGGGGGAUCGCAAGACCUCGCGCGAUUGGAGCGGCCGAUAUCAGAUUAGGUAGUUGGUGAGGUAAAGGCUCACCAAGCCGACGAUCUGUAGCUGGUCUGAGAGGACGACCAGCCACACUGGGACCGAGACACGGCCCAGACUCCUACGGGAGGCAGCAGUGGGGAAUUUUGGACAAUGGGCGCAAGCCUGAUCCAGCAAAUGCCGCGUGCAGGAUGAA
RNAcentral lists this ribosomal RNA (382 nucleotides) under uncultured bacterium. RNAcentral's name for it is "bacterial SSU rRNA". It matches the Rfam family "Bacterial small subunit ribosomal RNA", at positions 30 to 412 of the family's 1533-position model. The record is from RNAcentral.